Long non-coding RNA from Eptesicus fuscus (big brown bat), 228 nucleotides. RefSeq lists it as uncharacterized. The transcript has 3 exons. The record is from RefSeq and is a predicted model, not a curated record. Lineage: Eukaryota; Metazoa; Chordata; Mammalia; Chiroptera; Vespertilionidae.
CUUGAAAGCCCUCUGGGCUGGUCCUCUCUAACACAAAAAGCCGCGAUGAACAGAACGCCAGGUAUAUGAAGAUGAAACAGUGAGGCCCUAAACUUCAAUGCAGUUUUCAGCUCAGAGCAGCAUGCAGACAAAGAAGUACAAUAUAAUCAAAGAAGAUACAUAUGGGGCAGAGAGAAGAAAAGAGAGAGAGAGCAACAUCCCUCAAGCUGACUAUCUCCUGCAGGAACC